UACGUAGGGGGCAAGCGUUGUCCGGAAUCAUUGGGCGUAAAGAGCGCGUAGGCGGCUAGAUAAGUCCGGUGUGAAAGUCACAGGCUCAACCUGUGAAUGCCGCUGGAAACUGUCUGGCUAGAGUCCGGAAGGGGCGAGUGGAAUUCCUGGUGUAGCGGUGAAAUGCGCAGAUAUCAGGAAGAACACCCGUGGCGAAGGCGGCUCUCUGGGACGGUACUGACGCUGAGACGCGAAAGCGUGGGGAGCGAACAGG
RNAcentral lists this ribosomal RNA (253 nucleotides) under uncultured bacterium. RNAcentral's name for it is "partial 16S ribosomal RNA". It matches the Rfam family "Bacterial small subunit ribosomal RNA", at positions 524 to 776 of the family's 1533-position model. The record is from RNAcentral.